CGUGUAGGCGGUCGAUUAAGUCUGCUGUGAAAUCUCCAGGCUCAACCUGGAAGGGUCGGUGGAAACUAGUCGACUUGAGGACGGUAGAGGGGGUGGAAUUCCCGGUGUAGUGGUGAAAUGCGUAGAGAUCGGGAGGAACACCAGCGGCGAAGGCGGCCCCCUGGGCCGCUCCUGACGCUGAGACGCGAAGGCCAGGGUAGCGAACG
This 206-nucleotide ribosomal RNA is filed under the name uncultured bacterium. Its description in RNAcentral is "partial 16S ribosomal RNA". It matches the Rfam family "Bacterial small subunit ribosomal RNA", at positions 568 to 774 of the family's 1533-position model. The record is from RNAcentral.